GGGCCCGUAGCUUAGCCAGGACAGAGUGCCGGCCUCCGGAGCCGGUGGUCGGGGGUUCGAAUCCCCCCGGGCCCG
This 75-nucleotide transfer RNA is filed under the name Sulfolobales archaeon SCGC AB-777_J03. It matches the Rfam family "tRNA". From Rfam's summary of the family: Transfer RNA (tRNA) molecules are approximately 80 nucleotides in length. Their secondary structure includes four short double-helical elements and three loops (D, anti-codon, and T loops). RNAcentral also lists the same sequence under 3 other names. Lineage: Archaea; Thermoproteati; Thermoproteota; Thermoprotei; Sulfolobales. The record is from Rfam by way of RNAcentral.